CUGAAUUAAAUGACGAAAACAUUAAUUGGUAAAUCAAGAGACAUACGUUGAACAAUAUGAAAGAUUAAUGUUUGGUGUUUGCAGAGAAGCCGAACGGAGACGACAAAGGUAAAGAGACGAAGAACAAUUAAAAAACCCUAAUCGACAAAACGCUGUGUUUAAUAACAUAAUAAAACAUUAAUUGAACGGGAAAACUCAAAUCAUACCAUAUAAGUUAAAAACCAAACGCGAGAACGGAAUUACUAAACAAACCGAGAAUCAUGGACCCCAUAGUCUUUAUAAAAUGCAUAUGUGUACACUUUAAGGAGAGAGUAAACUCUCCUAUCAUAAAUAUAUAUUAGUUUCGGCAAUCAAUGUACAAAGUAUCAUUUAGUUUUGUGGUAUUAACGUUGGUGUUUAUAUCUCAAUAACCGGGUUCAUAUUGUGUUAUUUGGGCUUCGUAUUUCCCUCAAGGAGCUCACUCAGCCCAUUUUUGUGAAACA
Molecule: long non-coding RNA, 482 nt
Filed under: Brassica napus (rape)
Lineage: Eukaryota; Viridiplantae; Streptophyta; Magnoliopsida; Brassicales; Brassicaceae
Description: long non-coding RNA (BNAP_LNC010271)
Source: RNAcentral